This 433-nucleotide ribosomal RNA is filed under the name uncultured bacterium. Its description in RNAcentral is "partial 16S ribosomal RNA". It matches the Rfam family "Bacterial small subunit ribosomal RNA", at positions 29 to 507 of the family's 1533-position model. The record is from RNAcentral.
AACGAACGCUGGCGGCAUGCCUAACACAUGCAAGUCGAACGAUACCUUCGGGUCUCGUGGCGCACGGCUGAGUAACGCCUGGGAACCUGCCCUUAGGUUCGGAAUAACCCCCCGGAAGGGGUUCUCUUAUCGGAUCGUGUCCUAGGACCAAAGAUGGAUCGACUUUGGAUGGGCCCGCGCUGGAUUAGCUAGUUGGUAGGGUAAACGCCUACCAAGGCGACGAUCCAUAGCUGGUCUGAGAGGAUGAGCCGCCACACUGGAACUGAGACACGGCCCAGACUCCUGCGGGAGGCAGCAGUGGGUAAUAUAGGACUGUGGGCGAUAUCCUGAUCCAGCAAUGCCGGGUGAGUGAUGAAGGCCGGAGGGUAGUAAAGAACUUUUACCCGGGAGGAUAAUGACAUUACCGGGAGAAGAAGCUCCGGCUAACUCCGUG